Molecule: long non-coding RNA, 1773 nt
Filed under: Pan troglodytes (chimpanzee)
Lineage: Eukaryota; Metazoa; Chordata; Mammalia; Primates; Hominidae
Description: lincRNA
Source: RNAcentral
UUCGGUAGCCGCGCUUUCCGGCGUUGGGGUUGCAGCUUCACCCUCGCAGACUCGGCUUAGCGAGCGAGUCGGUGCUUCCGCGGAUCAAAAUUAUUAGCCGUUUUAUUAGAGCCCAUUAAACGUUGCAUAAACAUGGUUCAGAGCUGCCUGGGAGAAGAAAAGCCAAAGGAUGCCACCCUCUCGAUUUAUCCCACCCGCGGGAGUCUGAAAGCCGACGCUAGGAGAAAUCCCGCGAAGGCCGCCCGGGAUCCUGGUAGAGGCGACGCUGUGUGCGUUUAUGGAGCGCUUGCGGUGCGUGGCACUAGGCUGGGUGUGGUGGGUGCUGCCGAAAAAAAGGUUCCUCCCAUCCAUUUGCACGUCACCCUUCCCACCUCCUGCCCAGAUGGACAGAAGUGAGGACAUUCAUCGGCCGCAUUUUACUAAUGGCAAGGAGAUAGCGACUGAAGGGCAAGAACCUAGGGUUUCCUGUCUUUGAUAUUUCUCAUCUUUGAGGUAAGUACACCUGGACAGUCCCUUCCUUCCUCCUCAGGGCUCAUGCUUUCUUGCCUAUCCAUGUAAUUAAUAUGAUCUGGCUAUCUUUGUCUUUGUUCCGAAACUUCAGCUGCAAAUGAAAGUGUAAGUUAGGUCUGAGUCUGCACUAUUGACCUAGCUAUCCUAGGUUAAGGGGGAUAAAAUAGGAAUCAAGAAGCCUGGCCCACUUGGGCUCCCAGCUCAAGUGCAUUCUGCAAUCCAGUUUAUAUUAGGCCUCCAUGUGGGUGGCUAUCCUUUAUCAAGAUCCCCCCCAGGGGGAGGAGGAUUAUUAGUCACAUUAUCAAACUCCCCUCCAACCCCUUUCUCUGCUUAGAGGUAUGUGUAAUGUGUAGUAGAAAGACCGAAUCCCCACCCAAAAGUCCUUACUGCUACUCAUGUUUUUAACCUUCUGUUCUUUUCCUCUACCCUACUCCCUAAUAAUGACCGCCAUCAUUUAUCUACUGCUUAAUGGAUACUAGGCACUGUGCUAAGGGUUUUAUGUUUUACUUCAAUCUUUUCAUCGGCUUUAUUUUGAUAGUUUGUUUUAUAGAGGAGGAAACAGACUUAGGUAAGUUACAAGAUGACAAGGUUACUACCUUAUUCAGUUAGUAGUCAGCAGCUAGUAUAUCCAAAGAUAGUACGAGUCAGAACUAGGAUUAUAAACUCAGGGCUACCUGAAACUCACAACUUCAGGCAUCUUUGAUUUCUUCUUUUCACCCACAGCCAAUUCUUCAACUAAAUUGUAUCCAUUCUGUUUUCACCGUCUCUUGUACUGGUCUCCUUUCUAUUGUAACUGUCACCAUCCUAACUCAAGAUCCUUCUGUAGCUUUCCCCGGUUAUUGGAAUAUCCUUAUUACGAUUGCCACCUUUUCUAAUCCAGUCUGUUUACUACUGCUGGGUUAAUUUCCCCAAACUGCAUGUCUGGGGAAUAACCUUGUGGUUAUGACAAAAUUCCCAAAGGAAAGCAAACUUGGCAAGGUGCAAAGACUAUGAAGACUUAGAACUUAAGAGUUCUAUGGAGAUCUUCAGAGAUAUAAAUUAGCUACUCAACAUAUCUGUUAUUCUGCCCUGAUUGCACUGUAAAGCAAAAGGAGAGAGGCCAUUAUGGGGAAAAAGAUCCAAAAGGACUCAUCUAAAACACAAGUUGGGUAGAGGAGAUAGGUGAGUACUAUUAUAUUAUGUUCAUGGAAAAUGAGUUCAUGGGCUUUCCUCUAAUUUUUAUUUUAAAAAUAAAUGUAAAUAUUAAAUAAAAUUUUUUAAAUG